This 253-nucleotide ribosomal RNA is filed under the name uncultured bacterium. Its description in RNAcentral is "partial 16S ribosomal RNA". It matches the Rfam family "Archaeal small subunit ribosomal RNA", at positions 474 to 727 of the family's 1478-position model. The record is from RNAcentral.
UACCAGCACCCCGAGUGGUCGGGACGAUUAUUGGGCCUAAAGCAUCCGUAGCCGGUCCUACAAGUCUUCCGUUAAAUCCGCCUGCUUAACAGAUGGGCUGCGGAAGAUACUAUAGGGCUAGGAGGCGGGAGAGGCAAGCGGUACUCAGUGGGUAGGGGUAAAAUCCUCUGAUCCAUUGAAGACCACCAGUGGCGAAGGCGGCUUGCCAGAACGCGCUCGACGGUGAGGGAUGAAAGCUGGGGGAGCAAACCGG